Molecule: ribosomal RNA, 1248 nt
Filed under: activated sludge metagenome
Description: bacterial LSU rRNA
Rfam family: Bacterial large subunit ribosomal RNA
Source: RNAcentral
GCCAUACCGUAAGGAGUGGUGGACCGUAUGGAAGUGAUGAUGCAGACAUAAGUAACGUUAAGGGCGGUGAAAUCCCGCCCCGCCGUAAACCCAAGGUUUCCUGGGCAACGAUCUUCGUCCCAGGGUUAGUCGGGAGCUAAGUCAAGGCCGAAUGGCGUCGGCGAUGCACAGCAGGUUAAUACUCCUGCACCGGCUAUGGUUAAACCACACGUGCGCGGAAAUUGAGAAAGCAUGCCGAUCGAAAGUGGCAGAAGGAGGCGGGGCAACCCAAAUCCGGUCUUUUGAUCCGACCGCCGAGAAAAGCGUUGUGGCCCUUUCCAUGGCCGCCCGUACCGCAAACCGACACAGGUGGGUGGGUAGAAUAUACCAAGGCGAAAGAGUGAAACCUCGUUAAGGAACUCUGCAAUCUAGUCCCGUAACUUCGGAAGAAGGGAUGCCCACUUUUAGUGGGUCGCAGUGAAAGGGGACAACCGACUGUUUAUCAAAAACACAGCAUUGUGCCAAGACGAAAGUCCAAGUAUACGAUGUGACACGUGACCAAUGCGGAAAGAUUAAGGCAAGGGGUUAGCCGCAAGGCGAAGCUCUGAACCUAAGUCCCCGUGAAUGUCGGCCGUAACUAUAACGGUCCUAAGGUAGCGAAAUUCCUUGUCGGGUAAGUUCCGACCUGCACGAAUCGUGUAACGAGUUGUCCGCUGUCUCAACGAGGGGCUCAGUGAAAUUGUAUUAGCAGUGAAGAUGCUGCUUACCCGCAGAAGGACGGAAAGACCCUAUGCACCUUAACUGUAAGCUGUCACUGGUCGUUUGGUUUCCAUGCUUAGCGUAAGUGGGACACUUUGAAGCGAUACUUUCGGGUAUCGUGGAGUGGACGAUGAAACACCACCCUUGGGUAUUGAACGAUCUAACCGAGGCCCUUGAAUCAGGGCUCGGGACCAUGUCAGCCGGUCAGUUUUACUGGGGCGGUAUCCUCCCAAAGAGUAACGGAGGAGUGCGAAGGUUGGCUCAGCGUGGUUGGCAAUCACGUGACGAGUAUAUUGGCAUAAGCCAGCCUAACUGUGAGACCUACAAGUCGAACAGAUGCGAAAGCAGGCCAAAGUGAUCCGGCGGUUUAAUGUGGAAUUGCCGUCGCUUAACGGACAAAAGGUACGCUAGGGAUAACAGGCUGAUUUCAUCCAAGAGUUCAUAUCGACGAUGAAGUUUGGCACCUCGAUGUCGGCUCAUCGCAUCCUGGGGCUGGAGAAGGUCCCAAGG